UACGUAGGGGGCGAGCGUUGUCCGGAAUCAUUGGGCGUAAAGCGCGUGUAGGCGGCUUGAUAAGUCUGGUGUGAAAUCUUGGGGCUCAACCCCAAGCCUGCACUGGAUACUGUCAAGCUUGAGUCCGGGAGGGGAGAGCGGAAUUCCUAGUGUAGCGGUGAAAUGCGCAGAUAUUAGGAAGAACACCGGUGGCGAAGGCGGCUCUCUGGAACGGUACUGACGCUGAGACGCGAAAGCGUGGGGAGCGAACAGGAUUAGAUACCCUGGUAGUCCACGCCGUAAACGAUGGGCACUAGAUGUGGGCGGUGUCGACUCCGUCCGUGUCGAAGCUAACGCAUUAAGUGCCCCGCCUGGGGAGUACGGCCGCAAGGCUA
RNAcentral lists this ribosomal RNA (374 nucleotides) under uncultured bacterium. Its description in RNAcentral is "bacterial SSU rRNA". It matches the Rfam family "Bacterial small subunit ribosomal RNA", at positions 524 to 896 of the family's 1533-position model. The record is from RNAcentral.